CCUACGGGCGGCAGCAGUGAGGAAUAUUGGUCAAUGGACGAGAGUCUGAACCAGCCAAGUAGCGUGAAGGAUGACUGCCCUAUGGGUUGUAAACUUCUUUUAUAUGGGAAUAAAAUGUUCCACGUGUGGGAUUUUGUAUGUACCAUAUGAAUAAGGAUCGGCUAACUCCGUGCCAGCAGCCGCGGUAAUACGGAGGAUCCGAGCGUUAUCCGGAUUUAUUGGGUUUAAAGGGAGCGUAGGUGGAUUGUUAAGGCAGUUGUGAAAGUUUGCGGCUCAACCGUAAAAUUGCAGUUGAAACUGGCAGUCUUGAGUACAGUAGAGGUGGGCGGAAUUCGUGGUGUAGCGGUGAAAUGCUUAGAUAUCCCGAAGAACUCCGAUUGCGAAGGCAGUUCACUGGACUGCAACUGACACUGAGGCUCGAAAGUGUGGGUAUCAAACAGGAUUAGAUACCCUUGUAGUC
This 460-nucleotide ribosomal RNA is filed under the name uncultured bacterium. RNAcentral describes it as "partial 16S ribosomal RNA". It matches the Rfam family "Bacterial small subunit ribosomal RNA", at positions 338 to 795 of the family's 1533-position model. The record is from RNAcentral.